UUUGGGCUAUGGGGCGUAAGGAGUUUUGGCUUGGACAGAUAGGAAGAUAUAACCCUGCUACAGAUUAUAGACGUGUUUUGGUUGAGAUUCUCUGUGCUUGAUGCAUUGUCUGCCUACAACGCAGGGCAAACUCUACUCCUCCCUUCUGGCCCGGCCUGUAAUGAUGGAUUAAGUAGGUAAGUAAUAGAGUGGUAAUGAGAUAACCACUGACAUCGAGCAUUAACGUGGGAAUAAAUGAAGUUACCAUCCAGAACUAAUGGCCUGA
RNAcentral lists this long non-coding RNA (265 nucleotides) under Phasianus colchicus (ring-necked pheasant). RNAcentral describes it as "lncRNA (ENSPCLG00000007642.1)". The record is from RNAcentral. Lineage: Eukaryota; Metazoa; Chordata; Aves; Galliformes; Phasianidae.